RNAcentral lists this ribosomal RNA (1361 nucleotides) under uncultured bacterium. RNAcentral describes it as "bacterial SSU rRNA". It matches the Rfam family "Bacterial small subunit ribosomal RNA", at positions 28 to 1381 of the family's 1533-position model. The record is from RNAcentral.
AUUGAACUCUGGCGGCAGGCCUAACACAUGCAAGUCGAGCGGUAGCACAGAGAGCUUGCUCUCGGGUGACGAGCGGCGGACGGGUGAGUAAUGUCUGGGAAACUGCCUGAUGGAGGGGGAUAACUACUGGAAACGGUAGCUAAUACCGCAUAACGUCGCAAGACCAAAGUGGGGGACCUUCGGGCCUCAUGCCAUCAGAUGUGCCCAGAUGGGAUUAGCUGGUAGGUGGGGUAACGGCUCACCUAGGCGACGAUCCCUAGCUGGUCUGAGAGGAUGACCAGCCACACUGGAACUGAGACACGGUCCAGACUCCUACGGGAGGCAGCAGUGGGGAAUAUUGCACAAUGGGCGCAAGCCUGAUGCAGCCAUGCCGCGUGUGUGAAGAAGGCCUUCGGGUUGUAAAGCACUUUCAGCGGGGAGGAAGGCGGUGAGGUUAAUAACCUCACCGAUUGACGUUACCCGCAGAAGAAGCACCGGCUAACUCCGUGCCAGCAGCCGCGGUAAUACGGAGGGUGCAAGCGUUAAUCGGAAUUACUGGGCGUAAAGCGCACGCAGGCGGUCUGUCAAGUCGGAUGUGAAAUCCCCGGGCUCAACCUGGGAACUGCAUUCGAAACUGGCAGGCUAGAGUCUUGUAGAGGGGGGUAGAAUUCCAGGUGUAGCGGUGAAAUGCGUAGAGAUCUGGAGGAAUACCGGUGGCGAAGGCGGCCCCCUGGACAAAGACUGACGCUCAGGUGCGAAAGCGUGGGGAGCAAACAGGAUUAGAUACCCUGGUAGUCCACGCUGUAAACGAUGUCGAUUUGGAGGUUGUGCCCUUGAGGCGUGGCUUCCGGAGCUAACGCGUUAAAUCGACCGCCUGGGGAGUACGGCCGCAAGGUUAAAACUCAAAUGAAUUGACGGGGGCCCGCACAAGCGGUGGAGCAUGUGGUUUAAUUCGAUGCAACGCGAAGAACCUUACCUGGUCUUGACAUCCACAGAACUUUCCAGAGAUGGAUUGGUGCCUUCGGGAACUGUGAGACAGGUGCUGCAUGGCUGUCGUCAGCUCGUGUUGUGAAAUGUUGGGUUAAGUCCCGCAACGAGCGCAACCCUUAUCCUUUGUUGCCAGCGGUCCGGCCGGGAACUCAAAGGAGACUGCCAGUGAUAAACUGGAGGAAGGUGGGGAUGACGUCAAGUCAUCAUGGCCCUUACGACCAGGGCUACACACGUGCUACAAUGGCAUAUACAAAGAGAAGCGACCUCGCGAGAGUAAGCGGACCUCAUAAAGUAUGUCGUAGUCCGGAUUGGAGUCUGCAACUCGACUCCAUGAAGUCGGAAUCGCUAGUAAUCGUAGAUCAGAAUGCUACGGUGAAUACGUUCCCGGGCCU